AGUAACACGUAUGCAAUCCACCUGUAACAGGGGAGUAACCCGGAGAAAUCCGGACUAAUACCCCAUAAUAUGGGCGCUCCGCAUGGAGAGCCCAUUAAAGAGAGCAAUUUUGGUUACAGACGAGCAUGCGCUCCAUUAGCCAGUUGGCGGGGUAACGGCCCACCAAGGCGACGAUCAGUAGCCGGACUGAGAGGUUGACCGGCCACAUUGGGACUGAGACACGGCCCAG
Molecule: ribosomal RNA, 229 nt
Filed under: uncultured bacterium
Lineage: Bacteria
Description: partial 16S ribosomal RNA
Rfam family: Bacterial small subunit ribosomal RNA
Source: RNAcentral